CCUUCCUUCCUUCCUUCCUUCCUUCCUGCCUCACUCCUUUCCUUUCCCUUGACCUCCCUCUGUUUCUUCUUUCCUUCCUUCCUCUCUCCCUUCCUUUCCCUUGACCUCCCUCUGUUUAUUCUUCUUUCUCUCCUUCCUCUCUCCCUUCCUUUCCCUUGCUCUUUUUUUCAUUCCUUCCUCCCUUUCUUUCUCCCCACUCCCUCCUACCCUUACCUCCAUACUUCUGCUUUUCCUUCCUUCCUUCCUUCCUUCCUUCCUUCCUUCCUUCCUUCCUUCCUUCCUUCCUUCCUUCCUUCCUUCCUUUCUUCCCACCUUGCCUUCCUCUUCCUUGCCUCCUCCAUUUUUAAACCCCCAAGAACUCCCCACCCUGUAAGGCCCGCUAGCCAUGAUUCCUAGUUUGCCUCUUCUUGCCAUUUCUUUCUUCCAAAAGGUAAAAAUUAUUUAGGGUCCAACAUUUCUGUUCCUCAGUAAGAAAUUCUUAAGGACUAGAAAUCUGGAAAAAGGGGAAUCAAACUGAUGUGACCUUUUGCAGCUUCCAUGACUUUGAUUACCACACCUUCCUUCCUUCCUUCCUUCCUUCCUUCCUUCCUUCCUUCCUUCCUUUCUUCCCACCUUGCCUUCCUCUUCCUUGCCUCCUCCAUUUUUAAACCCCCAAGAACUCCCCACCCUGUAAGGCCCGCUAGCCAUGAUUCCUAGUUUGCCUCUUCUUGCCAUUUCUUUCUUCCAAAAUGUAAAAAUUAUUUAGGGUCCAACAUUUCUGUUCCUCGGUAAGAAAAUCUUAAGGACUAGAAAUCUGGAAAAAGGGGAAUCAAACUGAUGUGACCUUUUGCAGCUUCCAUGACUUUGAUUACCACACCUUCCUUCCUUCCUUCCUUCCUUUCUUCAUUCCUUCCUUCCUUCCUUACUUACUUUUUCUUUCUCCAUCUUCCUCCCUUCACUCCCUUCCUCCCUCUCUCCCUUUCUUUCUUUCUUUCUUUCUUUCUUUCUUUCUUUCUUUCUUUCUUUCUUUCUUUCUUUCUUUCUUUCUGUCUGUCUGUCUGUCUGUCUGUCUGUCUCUUUCUUUUUCCUUUUUUCUCCAUCUCCCUCCCUUCCCCCUCUCUCCCUUUCUUUCUUCCUUCCCUCCCUCCCUCUCUCCCUUUCUUUCCUUCUGUCCCUUUCUUUUUCCUUCUUUCUCCAUCUUUCUCCCUUCCCUCCCUCUCUCCCUUUCUUUCCUUCCUUCCUUCUGUCUCUUUCUUUUUCCUUCUUUCUCCAUCUUCCUCCCUUCCCUGCCUCCCUCCCUCCCUCCCUCUCUCCCUUUCUUUCUUUCUUUCUUUCUUUCUUUCUUUCUUUCUUUCUUUCUUUCUUUCUUUCUUUCUUUCUUUCUUUUUCUUUUUCUUUUUCUUUUUCUUUUUCUUUCUUUCUCCAUCUUCCUUCCUUCCUUCCUUCCUUCCUUCCUUCCUUCCUUCCUUCCUUCCUUCCUUCCUUCCUUCCUUCCUUUCUGCCUUCCUUUCUUCCUUCCUUCCUUCCACUCAGUUUGUGCAAGUAAGCAAAAGAGUGUGCACUUACCUGUAGCUUUCUCCAAACCGAAUGUCUGCCAGCCUCCCUCUUUCUCAAAUGCUGGGAACAUCAGGAACUCUCCUAUAUACCUGCACUGGGGGUGGGGUGGGGGGUGAAUUUGCUGUCCUCAAACAUUAGUAAAAAUUUCCCUCGUCCUGAUUGCAUCAUGGGGACAACAAACAAAAAAAAUGAUUCAGUGCACAACUGAACCUCUGUUCAAGGGCAAAGACAAAUGUUGACACUUCCCCUUUACCUGAAGUCACCUAACAGCUAUUUGGGAUGGG
Molecule: long non-coding RNA, 1820 nt
Organism: Notechis scutatus (mainland tiger snake)
Lineage: Eukaryota; Metazoa; Chordata; Lepidosauria; Squamata; Elapidae
Source: Ensembl